This 253-nucleotide ribosomal RNA is filed under the name uncultured bacterium. Its description in RNAcentral is "partial 16S ribosomal RNA". It matches the Rfam family "Bacterial small subunit ribosomal RNA", at positions 524 to 776 of the family's 1533-position model. The record is from RNAcentral.
UACGGGGGGGGCAAGCGUUGUUCGGAAUUACUGGGCGUAAAGGGUGCGUAGGCGGUCGGGUAAGUCUGACGUGAAAUCUUCAAGCUUAACUUGGAAACUGCGUCGGAUACUAUUCGGCUGGAGGAAUGGAGGGGAGACUGGAAUACUUGGUGUAGCAGUGAAAUGCGUAGAUAUCAAGUGGAACACCAGUGGCGAAGGCGAGUCUCUGGACAUUUCCUGACGCUGAGGCACGAAAGCCAGGGGAGCAAACGGG